CUUGCUGUGAGUGCGAGGGUCUUCUUUGACAAGAUUGGUUUAAAUGCAAAGGCUUGGAGUGUUUGUUGUAAAAUCUAGUCCAUGCCCAUCAUUCAGUAGUCCUGUUUUUCCCUUUCAGGUUCCUCCCAGCAUGAUUCAUCAGGAACAAGUGAGAAAAUUGAGGUUGAGGUCGCAGUCGAUGAUGAUGACCAUGACUUCCUAUCCCUUGACAAGAGUCUGCAGAGGAGCAAGUCUGCUAAUGAAGCUGCCAAUAGUGAGAGAAGUGAUGCAGAAGAAUUUAGUUUUGAUUCCUCUUUCCAUGUCACAUCAGAAACAAGUGAGAAACCUGAGGUCGAGGUCACCAUUGAAGAUGAUGACCAUGACUUUGUAUCUCCUGACAAGAGUCUGCAGAGGAGCAAGUCUGCUAAUGAAGCUGCCAAUAGUGAGAGAAAUGAAGCAGAAGAAUGCAAUUCAGGUAAGAUGAAGAUGGAAGGUGAUUUUAUCUCCCUGCUUUGUUUCAGGAAAAGGUUUUGGGCACUUUUGCGCUGCAGGAGGUGAUACAUGUUAGUGGUGGUGUUAAUUUAAAAGCCAUGGGCUCUGUGUAGAAGUAUUGAUGCAGUAUAAUCAUCAUCAUAGGCUGCCUGUGUUGUUUUUUGUUAUGUGAUGUGACAAUGUGAAUACACGCAGGGGAAGUUGGGAUCUUCUGGUUCUGUUCUUUCCUGAUUCUUUUUGUUGGGUUCUCCACACGAAUGCAUCUGUGCACUUCAGUUUACCCUAUUUAGAGGUGCUUUGUCUAGGAUUUUUUGUGAUUCUGUACCUCUCCUUUAUUCUGUGCUUUGUUUUGGUUUGUGGAUACAUUAAUCUGUCUGCUUUUAUAAGGUUCUGUGAAGUCAGGAAUAUGUUUUUUACUUAAUAUUUUGAAGGCAGUAAGGUGUGAAGGUAUUUUGGUGUAAAAUCUUGUCCGUGUCCAUCAUUAGCAGUCCUGUUUUUCCUUCAGAUUCCUCCCAGCAUGACUCGUCAGAAACAAGUGAGGAUUCUGAUGCUGAAGUGUCUAGUGAAGGUCAGUUCACCAGGUCAUUGAUUUCAGUUGGUUGGGCAGUUUUCUGUCCAAGAUGUGUUUUCCAAAGCUUACAUGACUUUCCAAAGCAUUUAAUGAAGGGAAUUGUGUGCCAGUGUUGACUGCAGUUUGGAUUGUGCACUGCUUGGUAAACAAAACCUGGUGGAGAAGUAUUAGAAAACCACAAUACACUGAAGCAUAUUUGAGUUCCUGGGCUGGUUUUGAAAUGCUGCCUGACAGCAAUUUGUAUCUUGAGCAUAUUUUUGCAGCGUUGGUAAUGGAAAAUCCUCCUUGUCUGGAGAAGAUGUUCUUGUAUUCAUUUAUUCUGAGGACCCCAUUGCUUUAUAAACACCCUGUAGUUGUAUGUAACAUUAGUAGUUAGCAGCAGCUUGUGGGCAGAAUGGUACUGGAACAGAAAGCUGUGCUGCAGGUGGUGUAGGUGAAGCCUCAAAGUGUCUGUCUAGUACUGAUAACUUUGAGAUACAAACCUUUGCACUUACCAUUUCCUUUUUUCAUCUUAGUGGCUCUGAAGCUGCUUACCUGUGUUCUGCUGUUCUCAUGGUAGGAUCUUGAUAGGAGAUCAGCUGUGUUUCUUGUAUUUGUGAAUUCUUGUCCUGUACCUGUUUUAAGACACUGCUGAGAUUGGCUUUUGCAGUGCUUGGUUGUGGAAUUAGACUAAGAUCACUCAAUCAGCAAUUUAGGAAGUAGGCAGGGCAUUUGGGACAAAGUGGACACUUCUGGCAUGACCUUCAACAUUUUACCUUGCAGCACAGCAAGAAAUGUAUAGGUGCAGGAUGUGACAGUAUGUGAUACUGUUCUUGCUAAGUAAACCAUACCCUUGGUGAGGUGGGCACAUGCUUUUCUGUAAGUGAAAUUAGUUUUCUUUGUCUGCUCUAACCAUUUGUUUUGUCUGAGAUUAGAGGUUUUGGUAACAGGGCAGAAUGAAAAGUUCUUUACCAUGAGGAAGCUAGGGAUGGACUGGGGAGUGACUGGCUAAGCUCUCUGAUGAAUGGCUAGGCUUGCUGUUCUCCUGUGUGUGGUAGAGUUGACCUGUUUGAUGAAUUUGAUUGGCUCCCAUCAGUUUUACACUGGUUUGAAAGUGGGUUUAGAACAUUUGAGCUCUUCAAGACAAACCUUAGGUGCUGUCUUUUGAGAUCUACUAGUGGAAUGAUAUUACUUCCAGUUAGAUAAAGAAGUUAUUUGGUAUUGGCAGAAUUUAUUUUGAGAUUCCUUUUGCUGUGGCAUGGUUGUUUUAUGGUCAUGUGAUGUCCAGUUGUGUUUUAGAAGACAGUGUUGUUUUCCUUUGGAAGUCCAGAAGCAGCUUUGUUUUUUGCUAUGUUGUGCUUUGCACAGGCCCUUUUGCAAAAGUUGUUCCUUCACAGGUAAAAACAGGGGUUUUCUAAAGUUAUUAGGUGUGUAAUUUGUUGGAAAAUACGGUGCCAUGAUGAGCACAGUUCCUUAAUUCUGUUAGAUUUUUGAACUUCAGAGCAGUUAUUUGGUUGCACAGAAGUUUAGAGGGCAAAAUAACUGAUUGUUUUUGUGUGCCUUUAAGACGAUGACCUUGACUAUGUACCCCGUAAGAAGAGAGUGAAGAAAACCAAAUCAGCUAAUGAAGAUGCUGAUAGUGAGACAAGUAGAACAAAAGAGUUCAAUUUUGGUAAGAUUAAACUUACAGAUGAUUUUAUCUCCCUGCUUGAAAAGGUUUUGGGCAAUUUUGUGCUGCAGGAGUGCAGGUCUUCAUUUAAAAGCUCUGUGGAGUGUUGCUGCAGUAUAAUCAUCAUCAUAGGCUUUGUUGUUUUUUGUUACACGGCGUGACUACGUAAAUGCACGCAGAGGAAGUUGGCAUCUUCUGGUUGUGUUUUUUUCUGAUCUAUUAGAUUGUUUUUCCACACAAAUGCAUCUGUGCACUUCAGUUUACUCUGGUUAGAGAUGCUUUGCCUGGGAUUUUUUGUGAUUCUGUACCUCUCCUUUAUUCUGUGGUUUGGUUUGUUUUUAUGGACGCAUUAUUCUGUCUGCAUUUUUAUGGUUCUAUACUUUCAGGAAUAUGUCUUUUUUUUUUUGAGUUUUUGAGUAUUUGAGUUUUUAUUUGGAAUUCUGUAAAUUUAAGUAAGUAUUAAAAUUAUUAUGGAUCUUCUUGUAACAUGGUUUUUGCAUGACAGGUGUCAAUUUUAACAAAAGUGACUGAAAUUUUGAGAGCUGUUCUCAAGAGAUCAUUACUACCAGUAGGCCAUUGAACAUGUGUCAUUCCUUUUGGUUUGGUCAGGAGAACGUAAAGACAGCAUUUCUAGAGGAGAAUAUUGAGGAGUUGGUGCUGAGGAAGCCUUUUUUAGAUAUGGUCUCUCAGUAGGAAAAUUACCUAAGCUUUGAUCUCCAGCAGUUUUGGAAGUGAAGAAAUACUGAGUUGGAUUUCAGAUGGAGAGGAAAGGGAAUAAAGUACCAGAAUGGCAGAAGUUUUAGUUGAGC
Molecule: long non-coding RNA, 3499 nt
Organism: Cyanistes caeruleus (blue tit)
Lineage: Eukaryota; Metazoa; Chordata; Aves; Passeriformes; Paridae
Source: Ensembl